UCACUCCUAGCUAACCUUUCUUCCUUCUUCCUUUGCACCUUGACUGCUAACCCCACUCGAACCCUAGCCUUGUUCUUCGUUGUUCUUCCUUUGCACCUAGCUUGACCAACCCAACUCGAACCUAGCCGCUUCACGUCCUUCUUUUAACACCAACCCCACUUGAAGUUCCCAGCAACGUUUUCAUCUUCUUUCACGGCUCGAAGCUCGUGACUCGAACCCGACAAGAGAGUGAAGAAGUAUAUUGACUCGAA
RNAcentral lists this long non-coding RNA (251 nucleotides) under Glycine max (soybean). RNAcentral describes it as "long non-coding RNA (GMAX_LNC001972)". The record is from RNAcentral. Lineage: Eukaryota; Viridiplantae; Streptophyta; Magnoliopsida; Fabales; Fabaceae.